UGGCGAACGGGUGAGUAACACGUGGGUGAUCUGCCCUGCACUUCGGGAUAAGCUUGGGAAACUGGGUCUAAUACCGGAUAGGAGCCAUCUUUAGUGUGGUGGUUGGAAAGUUUUUUCGGUGUAGGAUGAGCUCGCGGCCUAUCAGCUUGUUGGUGGGGUAAUGGCCUACCAAGGCGGCGACGGGUAGCCGGCCUGAGAGGGUGUGCGGCCACAUUGGGACUGAGAUACGGCCCAG
This 235-nucleotide ribosomal RNA is filed under the name uncultured Actinomycetales bacterium. RNAcentral's name for it is "partial 16S ribosomal RNA". It matches the Rfam family "Bacterial small subunit ribosomal RNA", at positions 96 to 334 of the family's 1533-position model. Lineage: Bacteria; Bacillati; Actinomycetota; Actinomycetes; Actinomycetales. The record is from RNAcentral.